ACCAUGGGCGCGCUCACAAACAUGCAAAUGCGCACAGAAUUUGGAAUAAUAAAUAUGAUAAUAUCAAAAUGAAAUAAGAACCAAUAGUCAUCAAACAGCAUUCAAACAACUCCUAUGCACACGUGUUGACUGUUGACCCCUGACAGCCCCCUACCUGGAUCGAGACUAACCAUCUUAGCAUUGUCAUCAGAAAAUGAAUUUCAGGAGAUGAAAGCAUUACAAAAAACACACCUGAGG
This 237-nucleotide unclassified non-coding RNA is filed under the name Hevea brasiliensis (rubber tree). The record is from RNAcentral. Lineage: Eukaryota; Viridiplantae; Streptophyta; Magnoliopsida; Malpighiales; Euphorbiaceae.